GUAGAUUUAGGUUAAUUUUAAACUUUUAGUUUUCAAAACUAAAGAUUUUGUUCUAUU
This 57-nucleotide transfer RNA is filed under the name Setaria digitata. Its description in RNAcentral is "tRNA-Trp". The record is from RNAcentral. Lineage: Eukaryota; Metazoa; Nematoda; Chromadorea; Rhabditida; Setariidae.